GGGGGGAGUGGCUGAUACACUGGAGGGCAGGGCUGCUGUGCAGAUGGACCUGGUCAGACUGGAAAAAUGAGCUGUCAGGGACCUCAUGAAGUUCAGCAGACACAGAGCCCUGUACCUGGGCUGACACAACCCUAUGUGGCACGACAGGUUGGGAACUGUCUAGAGAGCAGCUUAGUAGAAGACACAGGGGUCACAGCAGACAAGUCAACUGCGUGGCCUUGCAAGCAAAUGUGUCCAGCUGCACGCUGGGCUGAAUAGAGCCAAUAGGUUUGGAAGAAAAUCAUUUUUCCCAUCUAUUUGGCACCCAUGAGACUACAUCUGGAAUACUGUCUAUAGUUUUGGACUUGUAGAAGACACAUGUUCGUCUACUAAAACAAGAUUAGCGAAGGCCACUGGAGGGCUCAGGGAGAGAGAAGUUGAUGGAGAUGGGUUUGGUUAGCAUUAAAGAUGAUGAUGGCAAGCAGGUUGUAGAGAAGGUAGAGCUUGGUUCUCCCUAGAGGUGAACAAUAGGCAAAUGGUAAUAAGCUGCAACAUGGAAAAUCUAAUAAAUGAAAUCUAUAUAUCUAUUUAUAUCUAAUAAAUAUAUCUAUAUGUCACAUAUAGAUAUAUAUAUAUAUAGAGAGAGAGAGAGAUAUAGAUAUAGGCUCCUUAAUAUAUCUAUAGAUGUACAUAUGUGUACAUCUCAGCUGGAGAUAGCCUAAAGCAACCUGCUCUAAUGGGGCCUGCCUUGAACAGAAAGCCAUACUACAGAAGUGCAGAAGCCCCUUGCUACUUACGGACAUGUUUCUAUGAACUCAUGAUGUGAAAUCAGAUAGCUUUGAACUAGCAGUUCCACCUUACCACGGAAAGAGACUCUUAUAACACUUAGAUUUGCCAAAAGUUUUUUCAUGAAAUGAUGCCCAGCGAGCAGGGAAGGCAGUAUGUCUGUUCUAUUGCAAUAAGAAAUGCACUGAAAAUUAGUUUUGCGCAUAUCAAGAACUAUGCUAUACAAAGGAUAAAUAAUAUGUGCUGAUUUCAAAGAGACCUGGCACUCUCUUUGCCUUCUUUUAUUGUUUGCAUUGCUUUACCAUCAACAGAAGCAGGAUCCUCUUCAUAAAGAACUGAUUUUCUACCUUUAUAAUUCACUGUUCUGAAAUUCAAUUUCCGUGCGUUUGUCCUUAUUGCCCUUAUUCAAAUAUUCUUCCAGUUCUGUUGUAUUCUUACUGAGAUGGGAGAAAACUGCAGAACUGUACACAGUAGUCAAGAUGAAGGUAGCCUUUAGACUAAAAGAGACUGUGUAGACUAUAUUCUAUUGGAAGGGACUAGAUACAAAUACACCUACUAUCACUUUGUGCAACCCUCAGAAGAAAGGUAAGCACAAAGAAGCCCUUGUCUGUUCCAGCCUACAGUAUCAUAAACUCUUCCUUAGUUGUAGGAAAGAAGUGUUCUUAAGCCUAACCUUCUAAUUUUCUACUUCUUUUUGGAAUUCUUUAAUGCCAUAUGAAUGUUUUAAUACUGCACUACUUAUUUCCUCUCUCAGAAAGAAGAGCUAAAACCUUAUUAGUUUAUGGUCCACAUACUCCCUAGGAAGGAUUUGUGAGGAACAGAUUAUCAUUGCUUUGCUUCCAAGUCUUAUUCAGAAGGGAGGAUCAAGGGGAGACAUGCACAAAUAUAAUUAUGUAGCAAUUCUAACUCAUAUUUAUUCUGUACAAUACCAUACUGAGGUUUUUUUGUUUGGAUUUUCUUUCUGAUAGCCACCAAGGAAAAUAACUGUAUUAAGCAGACUUAAAAUGUAAAGCAAAGUUGUUAAUUAUCUGUAAUGAUUUCAUCUCUGAUCCUAAAGAAGGGAGUGCACCUUCCUCUGACCAGAAAUAAUAUAAGCAUUAAAUGACCACUUUUGUUCAUAUAAAGAGAAAAAUAUUUUUAAUCAUAGCAUAUAUAUUACAGUUUUCUGUCAUCGGCAUAAUGAGCUGAUUACCCCACAACUGGGAGAACUGGAAUUAGGUGGGUGCCUUUAUGAUCAACCUUUCUGCAGGCUGAAGGAAGAGGAGGAGCCGCAGGAGCCCUAAUUUUGUGUUAAAUACUGGACUUUGGGAGUGAUGUGAGGGCACCAAGAAGGAUGAUCCCUUAGGGAAGGGUCACCAUCAAACCAGAAGUGAUUUCUUAUUGGUAAACUUUCUUUUUUUUUCCUGUUCUUUUAAUGUUGUGCUUCACUAAAUCAUCACUGUCUUGGCCUCUGCUCAUCUUCUUCUUUCACUUAUUUGUCUUUUAUUCAAAGAGUUGAGGGUUAGAUUGUCUCAUCUGGCUUCUAUGCCGUAGGUCCUGAAAUUGCUUGUACAGGCUCAAGUAAUUCAUUUGAGCAAGGCAUGUUUCGUAUCUGCCUGGAGCCUGCAAUUAAGCAUGGAGUCACGCAGCUUUAGAAGAUAAGGGACUUCCUGUUCUGUUAGCAGAAGAACCCUUGUAGCCCUUUUUUCCUACCUGGAAAAAGAAGUUGAAUGCAGAGUAUGCUGUGACUGAGCUGCAGUUAGAUGGGAGUGCGCACGCCCAAAGCUGGUCAAAUUUUGGUAGUGAAGAUUAAAAUUUAACCAACGCAGCAUUCUUCCCCCCCCCCCCCCCCCCCCCCCCCCGCAAGGACAAAAAAUGAUCAAUUCAUUACAAUAUUUGUUAAAGUAACCUGGGGAGCAUUUCGGAAGAGAAAAGAAUGACGAUAAACUCAAUACUAAACCAUUUGAGCUGACAGGCAGAAAAGCUUCAGGCUUGAAAACAUGCAAAUAAAAUACAAAUGGUAUUUACUGUUAGUUCAUUACUGUUCGCAGUUAAACCUGGGCAUCCCUAUUACAUCUAAAAGGUAACAAAGGAAAAUACAAACAAAGCCUCACUAUCUAAAACUGGAAAUUCAACAGUUUACAGAAUAAAGUAAAUUUUAAUAUAAACAAUCCCUGGAAUAGUUGUGUAGGUUUAAAGACAAGCGGUUCAACUUGACAAAUGUCAGUACUGAGACACAGGACAACUGGAGCUCCAUACAAAGCUGGAGGCAAGGUGGAGGGAACAUCCGUCCACUGCCACACUUACAGUGCAUUAAAGUGGGCUACGGCAGCUCAUUCUACUGCUAUUAAUAAUGCUGCACUUUAAGAGACUUUAACAAAGCUGACAUGCCUGAAGUAUAUACAUAUAGCGAAAUCUCAGACGGCAGACAACAUUUCCUGUCAAAAUAGCUUCCAACAACGAUUUAGCAUAAUUAUAUAUGUUCUGCACUGAGGUUUGGAAGAAUGUUAACUCUCCUGUUAAUUUAAAACCUUUUGUAUGCAGUCAGUGGGUGGAGUGCCACAUUUUAGAGUACCAUUUUCCAGUUUAAAAUGAAACCAAUGAAACUAAACAACAAACCACUGCAAACACGACAAAGAAAAAACAGCCAUCUAACGCUUGUUUUGUUUGGGUCUUGGGGCAUACAAGCUUAAAACCCAGAUUUUGUGGAAUUAUGAGUGGUUAGAAACACAAAAGAGGCUUUAUAACACGAAGGAAAAGAACACAAAAUUAAUGUAAAUAUGGUUAGCACAAAGAUAUGAGAGACAAGAGAACAGCAAUGUUACCUAAAAGCACUGCUCCAAGACUUCAGGUAUGCUGCAUCUCCUUGCUGAGUGCACACUACCCACAUGCACUGCUGCUGUUGGGAAAGGUUUUGCUCCUCCGUCACAGCCGUUAUUUGUAACUGCCUGUUAAUGUGGAUUCUCUUCCACACCACAAAAUGAGAACUUUGUGAAAUUAAAUAGAUUAUGUUAGGUAAUUUUUAUGGGACUCUUACCACUUCUUUAACUGCAUAUAUUUAGGAGUAAUUUGUGUAUACCUACAUGCUUAUGAUAUGGCUUGCAGCAGAAGCUAUUAAAUUGAGCAGCGGUAGCACCAUAACUUACACUUGCUUCCCAGAACUCCUGAGCAGGACGCUGGGGACUACGGGCCCUUUCAGAUGAGUGAAAAAAUGAGCCGACAUUAUUUUCCCAGAUAGGAAUGAAGGGUGAAUGCUACAAGUGCAUUCUAUCUGGAAAGUGUGUGAAUAUGUUUGGGGAGGGUGGGGAGACUUAUCUGCCUGCUCUCUGAAAAAGCUGUGUUUCAAACCCUUUAUUUCAAUAACAGUGUUAAGGAAAAAGGAAAAACACACCAUCACUUUGAUGCCUAGCAUUAUGAGAACAGAAGUAAGCCCAAGCAAGCUAGGCCAAAUGCACCAGCAAAGUAUAUUCCCUUUUGUCAUUUUCUGUCCCAAAGUACUUUCUCUGAAAGGAUCCAGUCCAGUCUGGCUGCUCCUUAUUUAAAGUUUUUCAGUUUUUCAGAGCGACUGUUAUUUCCCAAAGCACCUUCUGUUUCGCUGUGGUUUAGGUAACAGAUUAUUAAAACAAUUGUGCUUAUCAUUGUGUUCUCUAAUGUGAAAUGGAGUGAAGUAAAUGAAAAAGUAAAUGCUAUUUUUCAGGACUUGGAACGUGUCACUGGAGAAUCUGAAGUCCUUGUACGUGUUUUUAUACUCAGCUUGAAAAUACUUUGCCAUUUUUACUAGUGCAAGCCUGAGUCUUGGAUGGCUUCUUGAACUUUUUGGAAUAAUCAUGACUGCUAAAAUCAGCUGACGAAUAGCUGCUUAUACUGUCAGCAGGAACUGAGAUACUGGUCUAUAGCUGGGCAUUAUGAUGGCUGGAUCUGUAUGUGGAGGGCCUGAGCUUCCUCUGUAGCAUAAGGAAAAAGUCAGAGAUCCGUAAGACCAAAGUAAUGACUGAGGACCAGCUGUGAUUAAGUAAGGCAAUGCCGUGUAGCAUUUAGCCAUUCAGACCUAAGCCUGUAAAGAAGCAGGCUGUUCCAAUGUGUUAAUAGCUUUCAGGAUAUGAGAGAGACAGUUUAGAGUAUUUGAAGACACUUAACCUACUUAGCUCACCUAGGAAAUGGAUAAUCUCAUUGCCAGCCUUAAAGAGGUUUUACCCAACUGUUGCCUCUACCCUUUGUGUUGAAAAUGUGCAAAGAAUUAGACUUUCUUUUUUAGUGACAGAAACGUAGCCAGCAACAGCCUAGCUUGUGACUAGGAGCUUGUACCUCCCCCAUCUUCUUUAUGGGCAAAUUUAAACUGCAUAUAUAAGCUGUGAUUGAUAGAAAAGAGAUUGAGCAGUCUUAUCGGUUACACUAUAGUUCUCUAGUAUUAAGCAUCUGUUGUUGUUAACCCCAAAGUACAAAGCCAAGAAAACAGACAGGACCAGUAGAGACAGCGAAUGGCACAGAAGCAUCAAGCUUCGACUGCACCUAGACCACGUACCGUCCCUUCAGUGAGGCACCUCCGGAGGCCUGCGCUAACAGCGGCUGCAGAGGUGUUCUCUGCCUGCAGAAGGAAGCCAUCUGACACACCUUACAUCAUUACAUUAAUCUGCACAGCCAGAGCUACAAAAAAGAAAACGAUAAAGUUCAGACCUGUUGUAAACAGCUGAAGCUCAUGAUAAUGGGUUUGCUCAUUACGUCAGCGAUGUAAACAUCGUAUUAGCAAGCAGGUCAGAAAAUGGGUGUAAUUUUCCUCAGCUUAGUUUCCAGUGUGCCUUUGUAAUGUACGGACAAGUAAGACAAUAUUAUAGAGAAAGUAGGAAGUAACAAAAUAAACAGCUAAAUUAAGUGGGCCGAUAUCAGUACCUUUAAGCUUUCUUAGCCACAAUAGAUAAUAAAGUAGGAAACAUUUGGAUGUUUUUUCUUUUAGGAAAAUUGUAACAAAUAAUUAUAAUAAUGUUAACAAGGAAAAAUUUAAAGCUGCUCAAAAAGAAGAGAGUUGACAAAUUCAUACCUUUAUGAUGUGCUUCCCACCUACCCUUGAAGUUUCUUGAUCUGUACAUAAAUUUAUCUCAUUUUUCAAGGUGCUGUUGGUGACUAUUUCCUUGAGCAGUUAAAACAUAUAUUCAUGUCUGACCCAAAUUGACUGUUCUUAUGGGUGUUUAAACAAAUCUUUUUUGAAAUUCCCUGUUUUAAUUAUCGAGGAAAAGAGAUUUCUUCCCAAAAUACACACGGGGUUGGAAUAACCCUGUAUUUGCAAAUGACUGCUUAUGGAAAGAGCACAAUGUCAUUAUACCUAAAUAUGACAGAAUUCUGGGUCUGGAAAAGAAGCAAGGACUAUUUACAAGACAGCAAAACCAAAACACCUUAAGGGAACGCAUUCCGGGAAUUAUCUUCACGUAUCACUAACUUAUUUCGGUCAGAAGUUCCUGGGAACUGUAAUCCCAAUGUCAGAAGGUGUCUGAUAAGGGCUUUGGAUGCUGCAGAUAGAGCAGUGCUCUGAAACAAACGUACUCCCACCUAUCCAACACCACCAUUGGCAGCAAUGUAACUCUCCUGCUCAGGGGGUUCUGAGCCGAUUUACUUUUCAACAUUUGAGUUAUAAAAAUGAGUCUGCUAUUGCUUUGUUUCCUCUUCUGAACCAUUCUAUGGAACUUAAGAUAAGUCCCUUUGCCUGUUUUGUUUUAUCAGCUUAGCAGGAAAAAAAAAUGAAGUCUGACCCUACUUUUGAAAGCGAGCUGCACCAAUGCCUUCAUUCCUAUUUCCUGUAAGUCCCAAUUCUGUAUUAGUUCAUCACUUUAUUUAAUCCAAAAAAGGAACUCUGUGAUUAUUUUGAUAAUUAAGCACUCAGUCACCAAUCGUAGGUUAUUAUAUUAUUUAAAAGCCAUAGCUUACGUUAACACCAAGGAAUGCACUGACUUGUAAGUAUAGCAGUGAAGGGGAGAUUCUUCUGGCUUUGUAACUACUGCUCAAAAAUCUACAGUGUUCUCAGGCUGCAGCCUGAGUCUGUUUUGUCUGAAGAGAGACACAAAGGCUUGGAGGACGCUGGCAGCCACUGUCACAGCAGUAAGGGUACAUUUCAGCGACUGCAUCUCAGAGCGCAGUCGGGGUGCUUCGGGGUGCAGGAUUCAGUUCUCUAGCUUAAAGACUUCACGGAAUACCCAAGUGAUGGCUCAGCAACUCCAGCACCCACCGAAAUUUCAGCCAGGAAAAAAAAUAUAAAAUCACAAUUAGAUUCACCUGAAGCUAAUUACAAAGACAUGAUAGAAUUGCAAAAAGCAUCAGGAUGGAAAACAAAUAUUACUUAAUAAUGGUGACAAUCAUACAGGAUUUUGAUCUUGCUUACAGAGAAUGAUUCAAGAUUACCUGGUUAGGUAGGGGAAAAAUGCCCAUGCUGACCUUUUGCUUUUGUUCUCAGGUUAGCUUCAGUCAACAAACCUAUUGCUCUAACUGCUGUGUCGGCACAGCAGCCACUGAGCUUCUUCAGCACAUCUAUCUCCCGUUCCACACGUGUUCUGACACCAUACCAAUGAAGUUCAGAGCCAUCUCAGGCUAACAUGUCUGUUCCAGUGGAGCGGUGACAAUUUCAGGACACUGUUCCAAGUGCAUUUUUUUCUGUUGUCAGUGCAGCUGUUUGCAUGGCUGUGAGAUAAACCAGACCAGGGAUUCCUUCCAUUGAAACACAGCCACUGGUUUGCCCGUGUAUCAAUUCUAUUUUACCAUACACCCAGAUGAAUUUGUGCACUCACAAGAAGAGGGCAACAGAGGUGUAGGAACAUGAGAAGUGUAUAUGAUGGAGAAGCUGCACCACCACUUCUGUUGCUGAAUUCCAACUGUGGCCUAAAAAAAUCCCAUUUCUGAAACAAAAAGAAGUUGGUUUUGCUGUCACCACGGUUAGUUUGAAUUUAACAUAAAAGCAACAAAAAAGAAUUGCUCCGUUUUCAAGGCACCCUGCAAAUAAUGGGACAUGGUAACAACAACCUGCUGCUCAGGUUCUAUCUGCCAAGACUUUAUAGGAACUUUUAUCAGAGAAAAUUCUCCUAACUACAUGGCAUCUGAAUUUAAAAUGUAGAAUGUAUGACAACAAAGACAACAAAAACUAAAGAUGACAUUACCCUGGGAUUUUUAAAUAAGCACUUCAGAAACAACAACAAAGAUGAGUGUAAUGACUCGUACUGUGAUCUCCCCACAGCCUGCCCUGUAAUUCCUUUCUUGGUCUAUUUUUCAGCUCGAAAGACUGUUCUGUUUCUUUAGUUUAUUUUCAGCCAGGUUCUUGGUCAGCCUUGUGAAGGCACCUAAAAUACACGUUUCUGACUCACAAUUCUACUACAGUGCUUAAGCUGGUCAAGAACACCGAGUUGCUCCGAAGCACAGAAAAGCUCUGUAACUUCUCGUUACGCCUCGGAUGUGAGGUUUUUCUGUUUCUGUCGAGUAUUAUUUACCUACAUUGUUUGUUCAAAAUCAUCAGUACAAAUAGCAAUGAAACGUCUCUUAAAGCAGGCCUGGAGAAGACAAGAGUUUUAGCUCCCCAAGGCAGCACCAAGGUGUCCUAGCGGACUGCAAUGACGUUCCAGCCAGGUACUGAGGGCUCUACUUAUUGAUACCAAAAGGCAUUGUUUCUAAAUUCCCUGAAAAGGACAUUUUAAUCUCUCUCACAAGCAACAACAAUCAAGUUCUGUUUUUCAUCUCAGUGUAAUUCCAUCAGCAAUCGAAUCUGUCAAAAAUAGUAAGUUUAUGUAGGCUGCCAUAAAUGAAAUGGGAUCAGGUUACGUAACAGGAGCAGCGAUCACCUGUUAGCUCGUGACAGUGAGUUAGCUCAGCAUGGUUGAAGUGUAACUACUAGGCUGCUCUGCGGAGUAGCUAAUUACUGAAUCGUACGAAUAAUUUAAGCAGAUGAAGGAAGAUAACAGCGUUACCACUUACAGCCUAAUUAAUAGAAAAGCUGAAAGUA
Molecule: long non-coding RNA, 8716 nt
Organism: Gallus gallus (chicken)
Lineage: Eukaryota; Metazoa; Chordata; Aves; Galliformes; Phasianidae
Exons: 2
Source: RefSeq, a predicted model, not a curated record